GACGAACGCUGGCGGCGUGCCUAAUACAUGCAAGUCGAACGCACUCUCGUUUAGAUUGAAGGAGUUUGCUCCUGAUUGAUAAACAUUUGAGUGAGUGGCGGACGGGUGAGUAACACGUGGGUAACCUGCCCUAAAGUGGGGGAUAACAUUUGGAAACAGAUGCUAAUACCGCAUAAAACCUAACACCGCAUGGUGUAGGGUUGAAAGAUGGUUUCGGCUAUCACUUUAGGAUGGACCCGCGGUGCAUUAGUUAGUUGGUGAGGUAAAGGCUCACCAAGACCGUGAUGCAUAGCCGACCUGAGAGGGUAAUCGGCCACACUGGGACUGAGACACGGCCCAGACUCCUACGGGAGGCAGCAGUAGGGAAUCUUCCACAAUGGACGAAAGUCUGAUGGAGCAACGCCGCGUGAGUGAAGAAGGUUUUCGGAUCGUAAAACUCUGUUGUUGGAGAAGAAUGUAUCUGAUAGUAACUGAUCAGGUAGUGACGGUAUCCAACCAGAAAGCCACGGCUAAC
This 514-nucleotide ribosomal RNA is filed under the name uncultured bacterium. RNAcentral describes it as "bacterial SSU rRNA". It matches the Rfam family "Bacterial small subunit ribosomal RNA", at positions 28 to 501 of the family's 1533-position model. The record is from RNAcentral.